AAUCCCCAACGAGCAGUCUUAGUUCGGAUUGUAGGCUGCAACCCGCCUACAUGAAGUCGGAAUUGCUAGUAAUCGCGGAUCAGCAUGCCGCGGUGAAUACGUUCCCGGGCCUUGUACACACCGCCCGUCACACCAUGGGAGUUGGUAACACCCGAAGUCAGUAGCCUAACCGCAAGGAGGGCGCUGCCGAAGGUGGGAUCGAUGACUGGGGUGAAGUCGUAACAAGGUAGC
Molecule: ribosomal RNA, 231 nt
Filed under: uncultured bacterium
Lineage: Bacteria
Description: partial 16S ribosomal RNA
Rfam family: Bacterial small subunit ribosomal RNA
Source: RNAcentral